AGAGUUUGAUCCUGGCUCAGAACGAACGCUGGCGGCGUGGAUAAGACAUGCAAGUCGAGCGCUGGUUACAGGGUAGCAAUAUUCUGUAAUCGGAGCGGCGCAAGGGUGCGUAACACGUGGGUAAUCUGCCAUGAAGUUUGGGAUAACUUGCUGAAAGGCGAGCUAGUACCGGAUGUGACGAUUGGAAGGCAUCUUCCGAUUUUCAAAGCUGGGGACCGUAAGGCCUGGCGCUUCAUGAUGAGCCCGCGGCCUAUCAGCUAGUUGGUGAGGUAACGGCUCACCAAGGCUAAGACGGGUAGCUGGUCUGAGAGGACGACCAGCCACACUGGAACUGAGACACGGUCCAGACACCUACGGGUGGCAGCAGUCGAGAAUUUUUCACAAUGGGCGCAAGCCUGAUGGAGCGACGCCGCGUGGGGGAUGAAUGGCUUCGGCCCGUAAACCCCUGUCAUUUGCGAACAAGUUGGUUCAAUUAACACCUGAACCAUUGAUAGUAGCGAAAGAGGAAGGGACGGCUAACUCUGUGCCAGCAGCCGCGGUAAUACAGAGGUCCCGAGCGUUGUUCGGAUUCACUGGGCGUAAAGGGUGCGUAGGUGGUGAGGUAAGUCGGAUGUGAAAUCUCCGAGCUCAACUCGGAAAUGGCAUUGGAAACUACCUUGCUAGAGGGUUGGAGGGGGGACUGGAAUGCUUGGUGUAGCAGUGAAAUGCGUAGAUAUCAAGCGGAACACCAGUGGCGAAGGCGAGUCCCUGGACAACUCCUGACACUGAGGCACGAAAGCUAGGGGAGCAAACAGGAUUAGAUACCCUGGUAGUCCUAGCCGUAAACGGUGCUUGCUUGCUGUAAAAGGAAUCGACCCCUUUUGUGGCGUAGCCACGCGUUAAGCAAGCCGCCUGGGAGUACGGUCGCAAGAUUAAACUCAAGAAAUUGACGGGGGCCUGCACAAGCGGUGGAGUAUGUGGCUCAAUUCGAU
RNAcentral lists this ribosomal RNA (971 nucleotides) under uncultured bacterium. Its description in RNAcentral is "bacterial SSU rRNA". It matches the Rfam family "Bacterial small subunit ribosomal RNA", at positions 8 to 955 of the family's 1533-position model. The record is from RNAcentral.